This 118-nucleotide ribosomal RNA is filed under the name Periophthalmus magnuspinnatus. The record is from RNAcentral. Lineage: Eukaryota; Metazoa; Chordata; Actinopteri; Gobiiformes; Gobiidae.
CUAUGUGGCCAAACCUCCUUGUCAAGGCCUGAUCUCAUGGGAUCUGAAAAGCUAAGCAGGGCUGGGCCUGGUCAGUAUUUGGAGGGGAGACUGCUGGGAAUACGAGGUGCCACUGUGG